This 479-nucleotide ribosomal RNA is filed under the name uncultured bacterium. RNAcentral describes it as "partial 16S ribosomal RNA". It matches the Rfam family "Bacterial small subunit ribosomal RNA", at positions 28 to 523 of the family's 1533-position model. The record is from RNAcentral.
GACGAACGCUGGCGGCGUGCUUAACACAUGCAAGUCGAGCGAUGAAGCACCUUCGGGUGUGAACCAGCGGCGAACGGGUGAGGAACACGUGAGAAAUCUGCCUUCAACACUGGGAUAACUCCGGGAAACCGGGGCUAAUACCGGAUAUGAAACCUGCGGGCAUCCGCGGGUUUGGAAAGUUUUUCGGUUGAAGAUGAUCUCGCGGCCUAUCAGCUUGUUGGUGAGGUAAUGGCUCACCAAGGCGACGACGGGUAGCCGGCCUGAGAGGGCGACCGGCCACACUGGGACGGAGACACGGCCCAGACUCCUACGGGAGGCAGCAGUGGGGAAUAUUGGGCAAUGGAGGAAACUCUGACCCUGCGACGCCGCGUGCGGGAUGAAGGCCUUCGGGUUGUAAACCGCUUUCAGCAGGGAAGAAGCGAAAGUGACGGUACCUGCAGAAGAAGCACCGGCUAACUAUGUGCCAGCAGCCGCAGUAA